GAAGCUGAUAAAGCCUAAGCAGGUUUAGCCUAUCCUUUAUUACUUAUUAAUCUUGUAAUUUCCAUAAAUGGAAGUUUGUGUCUAUUCUUGUUGACGGGCUCUUACUAUCCAUUUCCCUUUCACCACCUUUUAGCUCACCUAAAUCUUGCAUCUCCUGAACUUGCUUCCUGAUUUAGGAAUAUUGAGUUUUGUUUUACUUUUUUUCAGGUAUGGAAAAUGGUCGUCCAA
Molecule: unclassified non-coding RNA, 228 nt
Filed under: Hevea brasiliensis (rubber tree)
Lineage: Eukaryota; Viridiplantae; Streptophyta; Magnoliopsida; Malpighiales; Euphorbiaceae
Source: RNAcentral